UUUUCACUUCCUCACAAAUGCAGUAAAAUAAAAACCCUAAGGUUCUGUGACUUGAACAUACAAAUCCAGCUCAUUUCAAUGGUAACUGUACUUUUUUCUUUUCAAUUGGCAACGGAUUUUUGCUUACCUUCUCUUGGAAAUUUGGGAUUUGAAUCUUCAAUUUUUGAACAGUCAUACUUCAUUUAGGUUCAAUAAAUAGAAACCCUUCUCUUCAUUUUAAAGAAGAAGUUCAGAGACCAAAAAAAUGGUUUCUACACCAUCAAUGGGGUUUUUUUCUUUUACAACCCCAAGAGUUUAGAACAUUCAGAAACCCAGCUAAGCCGUUGAGUUUCGAGAAAGUUCUCGCUCAUGUUUAAUCUUUGGAAGUCAUUUCCAUUCGUCGAAAAUCGAUUCGGGUGAAAGGUAGUUCGUCGACUCCCGUUGCCCCCGUCAUUGCUCUAAAUGAGUGCAGAUUGUGAUGCAGAGACUGCUACUCGACCUCAUAUUUAGCUUGAGGCCAUUUGCUGACAGAUUGAGGGUGAGCUUCUACCCGUGCCAGGCCGCCCGAAGAUCUUCCUUUAUUUAAUGUCUAUUUCCAUUCCAUACAUUGAUGUUUAUUUAUUUCAGACAGUAUGGAUUCCUUACACAUGUUUCUGAUUAGAGUCCUUGUACGGUGACAUUUGAAUUUUGGGGUUGUAAUAGUUAGGACUUCCACAUUUACAUUAUUGUUUUAUGGCAUGACCACUUUUGACUUAAUCUUGCGUUUAAUUUAUUAUGAAUUGAAUGAAUAGACUAAGUAAAAAUGGACUUUAAAUGAGUAGAUGGUUGAGCAUAUUAGUUCUCCCACUAGGAGUUAGUGUGGGUGCCAGUUAUGGCGGGUUGGGUCAUGACACAAAGGUGUUAAUUGAUAAGCCACAUGCUAACAUGAACAUGAUUAACAUUUUAAGCAACUUUUCUUUUUUUUUCACCUUAAUCAGUCACUAGAUGUAAUUACUUCUUUACUAGAACACUCUUUGCUUUAUUCCUCUUGCAAUUGCGCCCUCUAAGUAUUGUAUGGAUAAGAGUGCAUUGUUGUGUUUGUCUACCUGAUUGGAAUAGUUAUGAGGUUCCAACACUUCUACACCAGAUCUGGAAAGGAUAAAAGCCUGUCUACAGUGAGACGUGAUUUGUUUUAUAUUAAAUAUCCAUGACAGUGAUUUGUGUGUUUUAUAAUUUUUUGAAUCUGGUUACUCCCUUUUUUACUGGAAUUACCUAUCAAUGUUAAAAUAUGAACUUAUUUCUAGUGCUGCAUUUUCCUUUCAACUCUGUCUUGGAUGUUAGUUGGAUGGAAGUAUGUUUUUAUUUCAAAUUCUAUAUGUCCCAGCAUUUUUUAUUGAAUUCAGGAAGGAUUAGGGAAGUUCUUCAAAGAUAAAAUCAUGUCUUUUGUCUAGGUUUCCUUUUACACUAUGUUGAUGUAAUCUUAUCAUGUUUAGCCUUUUUCUAUUAUGCCUUCAAUCGGUUCUACUAUUUCUACUAUGGAUCUUUUCACUGUCUUUUCCUUUUCAAAGCACUCCCUGUCUGUUCAGAUGGCUUUAAUUUUAUUAGAUUAAUCCAUGUAGGAUUCUGGGAUUUAAUUUUCUUAUGAAUAGCCUCUGUGUGAUUUGAUGGUGUGCUAUUUGUAUAAGAAUGAAUAAUAUCUCUGGAGCAUAAGCAAAGGGCUUAAAGGAUUUCCCUGUUUUCUCAUCGAAAUGUUGGACUGAAUAGGAGUUAACCUUGGUUUCUGGCUUAGCAAUUUAACCACUCAAGUUUACAGUAGUUUUUUAUUGAAGUACAAUACUUUCUUCCUCCCAAACUAUAUUUGAAUGCUAAUAUGUUGUCUUGGUUCUGGUCUUUGUGAAAGAUACUGAUUUUAUUUGAACUUGAUUUUCAGCUCUUAUUAUGGAUAAAAAUGUGUUGAGAAGCUUGAGCAUCAGUUAAUUUAGUAGUCUUCUUUCCUUUUUUUGUUCUUCUGUGGUUGUUUUUUUCCUCUGUUAAAGACUGGAUUAGCCACUAGUAAAUCAUGAGAAAAUUAUAAGUAUGUUGCUUUCAUUUUGACAUCAUUUAGGUCUACCUAAAUUUUAAGGUCAAAUGCAGCUAGCCAUUAAAUCUGAAUGUGUUAGCUGCUGGAGGUAUAUUUUCUAUUUACUUUUGUUAAAAGAAACAGAUCAGUAGCUUAAGGGGAUUUUUAGGACCAAGUCAGAACUUUCUUUGAAACAGUAAUGAUUACCUCUUGUUUUAACUAAAUUUGCUAGUCUGUUUUUUUUAAAGAUGCCUUGUUUGAGUAAAGGACAUUUAAAGAUUAAGUAGUUGAAACACCUUUUGAGUUCACUUCUCUUGAAGGGAUACUGAGUUGGGUUGGUGUUUUCUCUUGCUGGCAACUAUUCCUACAUGAUUGGCUACCAAACAUUUUCUUAAGUUAAGUUCGUUCCUGAUUUUUAGCAUCAAAGGCUUAUAUCUUUGGUAACUUUGUGAAAUCUGGAUAGUUUUGUAUGGCAUGAAACUGUUGUAUGUGUUCACUUGCUUUAUGACUCUAUAUCCUGAUUCUUGCUUGAUAAACUUGGCUAAGUUGUGAUAAUAACACAACCAUAUGAAAUGCUUCAUCAUUUCUUGGCUUGAUACUUAUUCUUUACCCUUCCUUUUCUUUGCAUGACUUGGGGAAAUUUCCUAAUCUCAAAUGUUCAUGAGUUGCUGUUGAAUCUGGAGGCUCUCAAAGUGUUGUGCUUGGAUAAGUUGCUGCUACUGUUUUGCAUAUGUAACAUCUUUCAGGUAUUGCUACCUUUUGAGACCAUGUGUUACAUGUUGAUGUCCCGUUUUGGCUGUCGCACUUUGGAUAAUUAAGUUGCUGCCAUGUUUUGUUGAUUGAGCUAUUGUUGCAGUCUAAAUUGAUGUGUUCUUUGAGCAAAUUUGUGGCUUAAGCUUGUGCAAACAAGUGCUGCAUUUUUUUGGCCAUCUUGCUGAAGCAUCAUGAGGCCUUGAGCUGCUAUGUUUUUGGACUGAAUAUAUGCUAAAUUUUUUGGCCUUUCUACUGCUACUUAUUGAUCUCACUUUGUUGCGGCAUUAAGGCUACCACUAUGUUGUAUUUUUCUUGGAUAAGUUAUUAUUGCCCCUUUGAGGCUAAUAACUGCUACAUUAAGACACACCUUGGCAAGGAAGUGCUAAUUGAACUCUUACUUGAUUCUUUUCUUAUAAUGUUCUGCUAGUUAAAGCUCAAGGCAAAUAGUGGGAUUGGCUUAGCCCCUCUAAUAGCCUGUCAUGCUUAAGGUUCUAAAAACCUUUGGAUCUAGUUGUGGCAUUAGAAUAUUGAGGGUGGUAGCCUUCCCCUUUGCCUUUUUUUCCAAAGGGUUGAUCUCUGAAGACUAUUUUCUUCCAUUGUGUUUUCAAAGUGACUGACUCAGUACAUUUGGAGUGCUGGACUGCUGCUUUUAGUUAAGGUUUUAUUGUUGUUUUGGAAGUUGUUAAUGUGAUAACUAAAAGCAGUCCACUGUUUUAUUUUAAGCAUCUGUCUAUUUGUUAAACUCAUGUUUUAAAGACUAGGAAAGAUAAGCAUACACGUCAUUCUAAAACUCCUUCAUGAUCUGAAUAUGUCUGAUGCCUUGUUAUAAUGUUUGUGACCAACCCUUAAGUUCAUUUUCUUUCCUGAAGCAUAAUUCUCUAGUUGGGUAUUUUCAUUUCUUGAUACCAUGCCCAGGAGUUCGUUAAUACAUGUUUCUUUGAGUAAAUUGAGUUUUCAAUCAAAACCAUGGUCUUUUGGACAUUCUAGGAUAUAUUUUGAUGCUUGCAUAGUGGUACUUACAUGUGCAUUUAGUGACUUCUAGAAGUUCAUUUUCUCAUAAGCAUGAAUUUGUAUCUGCUAUUUUUUUUAGUUACAAUAAAUGGUAGACUUCCCUGAGUUAUUUGCCAGUGCCAUGUGUGUAAAGCCUAAAUGAAUAUUGCUCUUUGAAUAUCCACAAACCUUUUUCUUAAAAAAAACUGUUUUAGAUCAGCAAACUUACCACCUUUGUUGCAGUAGAAAAUUUAUAAUUGGAGAUAAUUAUUCGCAAAGCUACUUUUAAAACAUAAGAGGGUGUUGAUGGAAUCUUUUAUGUGUUAGAUAAUGUUCCAGUUUUGAAACCUCUUUAUUUCAACUUGUCAACAGUUUUCCUCUUUUGUAAUAGCAGUUUGAAUUGGAUAAUCUUUCCUUGUAUCAACUUAAGUAUUAGCUGCUGUUUGGUUGUUUCAAAACUGUAGCUGGCUGGGAUUUUGUUUAGCUAGAAUGCUUCUCAUCUGAAAUGUACAUUUUUCAAUUAUUGUAUUUAAAAGGUGAAUCUCUUUUCUUUUGAAACAAGCUGCAUGUGGAAUACUAAAAUAGUCACCAACUUGUUUAUUUUCUAUUUGAGUAAAUGCUUAUGAAAAGUUAUGUUGAGCUGGUCACCCAUACCUACAUAGCCCCCUUUUUUUCCCUUUUUUAAACUGUCACUCAUUUCAGUCAUACUAAAAAUAAAUGAACUAAAAAGAUCUCCCCUACAAAUUCUUAAGUUUAUUUCAGUCCAUAAGUUUCCUGAUGAAAAAAAAAAAACUCCUUCAAAUUCAACCUGCUUGAUUAUCUACGAAUGUUUAAUGACAUGUAUGUGUCCUUAAUCUCAAUCUGAGAUGGUUAUUUAAAUAAGUAUCUAUUUAUGUUUUUUUUGUUAAAAAUAUGCAUUGUUUGAUACUCAUUCCUUUACCCUUCUUUUCUUUGCAUGACUUGGGGAUAUUGCCCAAUCCCAAAUGCUCAUGAGCUUCUAUUGAGCCUGGGAGAAGUUACAUCAUUUUGGUUGAAUGUUUGUUAUAUCUAUGGGGCUGGAAGAUGCCAUGUUGUUGAGGUCAUUUGAGUUGUUGUUGCGCUGAAAAUAGUCACUGCUUUUGGCUGAAUGUUUGUUGUAUCUUUGGGGCUGGAAGAUGCCAUGUUGUUGAGGUCAUUUGAGUUGUUGUUAUGCUGAAAAUAGUCACUGCUUUUGGCUGAAUUUUGUUGUAUCUUGGAUGGAAGAGGCCAUGUUUUUGAGGUCAUUUGAGUUGCUAUGGUGGUGAAAAUAGUUACUGCAUUUUGGUCGAUUGGUUGCUACAUUUUGAGUGAAUUUGCUGGUGCCAUUUGGUUUACAGUUGCUGCAUUAUUAGCAAAACUGCUAGAUUUUUGGCCAAAACGCCUUGCAUUUUUAGUCUGAAAUGAGUUGUAUUUUCAAGGCACUUUCUGGCCAAAUUGUGCUAUCUUUAAGGCUCUAAAUCUGUAGUUAUUUGGUUGAUGUUUAGUUGCCAUUUGAGCUGAAUAACUGAGCUACUUUGAGACAGUAUUGAGGGCAAUUGCUGGUACCAUUUAAAGGAUAAGUUGUUUGCUGCUCUGCCACAUUUUUAGCAGUUGGGAAUAGCUGCUACACUUGUAGUUGCAGCACUUUUAGGGUCACUUCGAGCUGUUAGCUACGCUACUCCAAGCUGCUUUGCUUUGAGAUAAUACUUUGUGAAGAAAUUACUAUUACACACAACAGCAGAACUUUGAAUAAUUUUUCAUCUUUGGGAAAAAAAUCCUAUUUUGGUGAUAGAUUUCAAACAGAUGCUACACUUGAGAAAAGAGAUGUAGCAGUAACUAUAUUUUGAUACACUAUUUAUUUCUGGCUAGGAGCAGAUUUUUGUACUUGUUUUUUUUUUACUACUUUGAACGGAUACUACACUUGGGCCAAUGAAAAAAAUAAUUUUUGAGGCCAUGCAUAGCCCGGAAAGGUUAUCCCUCGGCUUAGGCAGUGAUGAUCUCACAGUUAUAUCACGAGGUAGGAACCAACAUGCGCUUGGCAAGGCAACUAGAAUGGCCACUACUUUGUAGCCGCGACAUGAUUCAAGUUCCUUUGCCAUAUUCGGAACUGUGAGUCUGAGCCUCCGUAAUCAAAGCUCUCAAAGUUUGAUACGAGUCCGCGGGAUAUUAUUUAUGUUCCUAAACGUCACCCUACCGGGGGGGGGGGGGUAUCAUUUUGACUAACUACUUUCCAUUUCAUUGUGCGAGGUACCAAUAAAGCAAGCACGGAAAGCAAAACUUAAGGACGAAAUAAAAGGAUCAGAUGCUAGCUUCGGACGAAGACUAGAAGAGUAUGGGAUUUGGGCCCAAGGCCGACAAAGCUAAACAUUCUUCCCUUCUUAUUUUUGUAUGAAAAAUGCUUAUUUUAUAUGUUUACAUUCACUUUGUAUGAACAUGCUUGUCGCUGUAAAUAUUUGUAUAGAUAUUGAAACUCUUAUAAGUGGGAACCUAGGAUUCAGGUAGAUGAUAUUUCAAAUUGUACCCGAACGAUAAAAGAGUUGUAUUCCAUUUGAUUAAUGUAACUAAAAGUGAAAGAAUGUUUUCUUGUACAAAAA
Lycium barbarum (goji berry) is the source of this 6351-nucleotide long non-coding RNA. RefSeq lists it as uncharacterized. The transcript is spliced from 2 exons. Lineage: Eukaryota; Viridiplantae; Streptophyta; Magnoliopsida; Solanales; Solanaceae. The record is from RefSeq and is a predicted model, not a curated record.